CAGAAUUGUCCUAAGUCAAACCUCUUCAAAUUGGACCAAGCUAUAGAAAGAAUGCUAAUAUCCACAAUGUCUAAUAUAUAUAAUAUGACAAUAUAUUUCAUAAUGAAUCUAAUGAAGCAAAUUUGGUGUCGUAGAUGUUAAUAUAUUUUUAUAUAAACUUGGUCAAACUUAAUGAAGUUUGACUUAGGACAAACCCAU
Molecule: non-coding RNA, 198 nt
Organism: Triticum urartu
Lineage: Eukaryota; Viridiplantae; Streptophyta; Magnoliopsida; Poales; Poaceae
Source: Rfam